RNAcentral lists this ribosomal RNA (449 nucleotides) under uncultured bacterium. Its description in RNAcentral is "partial 16S ribosomal RNA". It matches the Rfam family "Bacterial small subunit ribosomal RNA", at positions 29 to 523 of the family's 1533-position model. The record is from RNAcentral.
AACGAACGCUGGCGGCAGGCUUAACACAUGCAAGUCGAACGCCACCUUCGGGUGGAGUGGCAGACGGGUGAGUAACGCGUGGAAACAUACCUUUUGCUUCGGAAUAUUCCCGGGAAACUGGGAGCAAUACCGAAUGUGCCCUGAGGGGGAAAGAUUUAUCGGCAAAAGAUUGGUCCGCGUUAGAUUAGGUAGUUGGUAGGGUAAAGGCCUACCAAGCCUACGAUCUAUAGCUGGUCUGAGAGGAUGAUCAGCCACAUUGGGACUGAGACACGGCACGAACUCGGACGGGAGGCAGCAGUGGGGAAUAUUGGACAAUGGGCGAAAGCCUGAUCCAGCCAUGCCGCGUGAAUGAUGAAGGCCUUAGGGUUGUAAAAUUCUUUCACCGGGGACGAUAAUGACGGUACCCGGAGAAGAAGCCCCGGCUAACUUCGUGCCAGCCGCCGCCGUAA